Molecule: ribosomal RNA, 519 nt
Filed under: uncultured bacterium
Lineage: Bacteria
Description: partial 16S ribosomal RNA
Rfam family: Bacterial small subunit ribosomal RNA
Source: RNAcentral
GACGAACGCUGGCGGCGUGCCUAAUACAUGCAAGUCGAGCGAGUCUGCCUUGAAGGUCGGAGUGCUUGCACUCUGUGAAACAAGAUACAGGCUAGCGGCGGACGGGUGAGUAACACGUGGGUAACCUGCCCAAGAGAUCGGGAUAACACCUGGAAACAGAUGCUAAUACCGGAUAACAACAGAUGAUGCCUAUCAACUGUUUAAAAGAUGGUUCUGCUAUCACUCUUGGAUGGACCUGCGGUGCAUUAGCUAGUUGGUAGGGUAACGGCCUACCAAGGCGAUGAUGCAUAGCCGAGUUGAGAGACUGAUCGGCCACAUUGGGACUGAGACACGGCCCAAACUCCUACGGGAGGCAGCAGUAGGGAAUCUUCCACAAUGGACGCAAGUCUGAUGGAGCAACGCCGCGUGAGUGAAGAAGGGUUUCGGCUCGUAAAGCUCUGUUGUUGGUGAAGAAGGACAGGGGUAGUAACUGACCUUUGUUUGACGGUAAUCAAUUAGAAAGUCACGGCUAACUAAGUG